AAGAAAAAGAAUGUGAAAAGGGACAUGGCUAGAUGUUGAUGGCACCAAGGAGAGGAAUUAAUCAAUAUUUGACUGAGUGUGGGCUGUGUUUGGCCAUCUUCCUAGUCCUUUAUGAAGAAAUGGGCAGUAGAACAUCACAAAUGUUGCUUUGAAUUUGAAGCUGGCAGAUUGAAUGGACAAAAACCUACUACCACAUACGCAGGAUGUCUAACAUGGCUCA
Molecule: long non-coding RNA, 220 nt
Filed under: Fukomys damarensis (Damara mole-rat)
Lineage: Eukaryota; Metazoa; Chordata; Mammalia; Rodentia; Bathyergidae
Description: lncRNA (ENSFDAG00000032831.1)
Source: RNAcentral